Molecule: ribosomal RNA, 253 nt
Filed under: uncultured bacterium
Lineage: Bacteria
Description: partial 16S ribosomal RNA
Rfam family: Bacterial small subunit ribosomal RNA
Source: RNAcentral
UACGUCGGGGGCAAGCGUUGUUCGGAUUCAUUGGGCGUAAAGGGUGCGUAGGCGGCGCGGUAAGUCGGGUGUGAAAUCUCGGAGCUUAACUCCGAAACUGCAUUCGAUACUGCCGUGCUUGAGGACUGGAAAGGAGACUGGAAUUUACGGUGUAGCGGUGAAAUGCGUAGAUAUCGUAAGGAAGACCAGUGGCGAAGGCGGGUCUCUGGACAGUUCCUGACGCUGAGGCACGAAGGCCAGGGGAGCAAACGGG